Long non-coding RNA from Vicia villosa (hairy vetch), 1197 nucleotides. RefSeq lists it as uncharacterized. The record is from RefSeq and is a predicted model, not a curated record. Lineage: Eukaryota; Viridiplantae; Streptophyta; Magnoliopsida; Fabales; Fabaceae. The transcript has 5 exons.
UGAUAGAGUAAGUUGGCUUCCCAUUGAAGUUCAUCUCCAUAUAAAUUUAUUGAUGCAGAGGCCAUCUCUUUAAUGCAUAGAAAAGUUAUUAUUUUGGUAUAUGUUUCUAUCCUUUGUAUAAUGUCCAAUAGUUCUUGGCAGUAAUGAGGAGAAAACUAUCUCGUUGAUGUAAAACCUGCAAACAUGGAAGAUCUGACAGGUAAGCUUGAUGAUUUUUUUAAAUCUGUGCUAUAAACAUAUCGCUGUUGGUAGAACACUAACUAUUUAGUUCAUAUUAUUAUAGUUGUUACAAGUUGUCGUUGACUGACAAGUGAGUGCUUAAUGCCGACCCUAACCUUCUGAUAUGCCAACCCAACCUAAACUGAUAGCCUGAUGAUCCAAAAAAAAAACUAGGUUGGUACUGCAUUAAGAUUCGCGUAAAACCGAGAUCAUUGCUUCUAUAUCUGACAUAAAGUUUGGGAAAGAUGGAAGAUACAUACUCAGUCGUGAUUACAUGACUUUAAAGUUAUGGGACAUUAAUAUGGAUUCAGGUCCUGUUGCUACUUACCAGGUUCAUGAGUAUCUAAGACCUAAGCUUUGUGAUUUAUAUGAAAACGAUUCUAUUUUUGAUAAGUUCGAGUGCUGUCUGAGUGGCGAUGGACUACGGGUAGCAACUGGUUCUUACAAGUCUGUGAUACAAACUUAAUCCAUGGUUCAAUUGUCUCUGGAAUUGUUUAUCCCCAUGCAUGUUACUAUUUUGUUUCAUUUGUGUUGCCAGCAAUUUAUUCCGAUUCUAUCACACUUUCUUCUCGAUUGGUCGACAACCUGUGAUGCUGAUCAUACUCAAUCGUACCAUGUUCCUGUUCAGAUUUCUUUGUCUGCUUUUGCUACCUUGUCUUUUGUUAGCCUCUCUCAAUGGGAUCGUAAAUAUGGGUUUAGUAGGUUUCUUUUUCUUGAUAAAGUUACUGAUGAAAGUCUCAAGAUUCAACAGGGGUAUGCUCAACAGAUGAAGAGAACAAUGAAGCUCAUCUUGCUUUGGGGACUACCCUGUUUCAUAGCGGAAUGUGCAUACAAGAUAUGAUCAGCAUUGAAGAUGUAUUGAAGGAGUUUACUUCUAAGAAAUGCGGUAAACUUGGGAAAUUGCUUAAGGAAAGUGGUAAUCAUGGGGUUUAGAUGAAACACAAAGAUUCUAGAGCACCGAAGCUAACCGUCAAGCAU